GAUGAACGCUGGCGGCGUGCUUAAUACAUGCAAGUCGAACGAAGAGUGUAGCAAUACUCUCUUAGUGGCGAAUGGGUGCGUAACACGUGGGCGACCUACCCCGAAGUGUGGAAUAACAGUUCGAAAGAACUGCUAAUACCGCAUGUGGUCCCAAGGGCUAGAGGCCUUGGGUCUAAAGCAGUAAUGCGCUUCGGGAGGGGCCUGCGGUCCAUCAGCUAGUUGGUAGGGAAUGGCCUACCAAGGCGACGACGGAUAGGGGACCGUGAGAGGGU
RNAcentral lists this ribosomal RNA (272 nucleotides) under uncultured bacterium. RNAcentral's name for it is "partial 16S ribosomal RNA". It matches the Rfam family "Bacterial small subunit ribosomal RNA", at positions 28 to 301 of the family's 1533-position model. The record is from RNAcentral.